RNAcentral lists this ribosomal RNA (165 nucleotides) under uncultured bacterium. RNAcentral's name for it is "partial 16S rRNA". It matches the Rfam family "Bacterial small subunit ribosomal RNA", at positions 355 to 511 of the family's 1533-position model. The record is from RNAcentral.
UAGGGAAUCUUCCACAAUGGGCGAAAGCCUGAUGGAGCAACGCCGCGUGUGUGAAGAAGGGUUUCGGCUCGUAAAGCUCUGUUGUUAAACGAAGAACACGUAUGAGAGUAACUGUUCAUACGUUGACGGUAUUUAACCAGAAAGUCACGGCUAACUACGUGCCAC